GUUGCGAGAAAACAAUAAAAUACACACUUGAUGUAUAUACUUAUACAUAAAUAUUUAUUUACAAAUAUGCAUUACCUAAUGCAAUUUAAUGACACUCCUCCACAUGGGGAUUCUUUGUCGCCGACAUAAAUAUGUCAACACCGAACCUUCUCAGAUUGAUAACAAAUAAGCAGUCGCGUCUGAAACGUCGUAAUUUACGUAUAAAUAUAACAGCUACAUCGAACAUCGAUCAUUGUAGACUUUAAGCUUGCAACAUGAAGUUCUAUGCACUCUUCGUUUUCGCACUAGCCAUGCUGGCUAUGGCAUUCGCUAUUCCCAAUCAUGAGCUCCGACCAAUUGCUGAGCUAUAUCCUGGUGGCGGUGGCGGUGGAGGUGGAGGAGGCGGCGGCGGUGGUGGCGGAGGUGGUGGUGGUAAAUAAGGCAGUCUGAGAAUGGUUUUGAUUUGACUAAUGUCUAUAAAUUUUUUUCGGAAAUUGCAUUACUUUAAUAAACUUAUAUAAUAAAAUAUAUAAUAUAAUAAAUACAUAUGUACAUACACACAAAAAAUAUAGUCUACAAAUUUUUAUGGAAAAGAGCUUGUUCAGGGGCACACCUGGUUAUAAUUAUACUUGUUACACAGUAAAAUUUUUGGAAAAAAUUAUUUUGGAAAUGGCGGAUGUACACCUGUUUUAAAACCGUUGGGCAAAGAAGAAACACUAUUAAAUGUACCAAAUGACCGACCUUAACAACAACUGGGAUUUAGUUGGAUAUUAGCCUCUAGCUGUCGCAGCUCUUCCAAUUUUUACUUGCUUUCUAUGUUUUCCAAGAGCACAACCGUUAAUUAGGGUUUCUAAAGAAGAAAUUCCGUUUCCUUGAUUAAUUUUGGUACCUUAAGUAUUAAAACAGAUCAUGACGAGUCAA
Molecule: RNA transcript, 900 nt
Organism: Bactrocera oleae (olive fruit fly)
Lineage: Eukaryota; Metazoa; Arthropoda; Insecta; Diptera; Tephritidae
Source: RefSeq, a predicted model, not a curated record